UACGAAGGGUGCUAGCGUUGUUCGGAAUUACUGGGCGUAAAGCGUUUGUAGGCGGGGUUAUAAGUUAAAUGUGAAAUCCCCAGGCUCAACCUGGGAACUGCAUUUAAAACUGUGGCUCUUGAGUAUUAGAGAGGAUGAUGGAAUUGCUGGUGUAGGAGUAAUAUCCGUAGAUAUCAGCAGGAACACCAGAGGCGAAGGCGAUCGUCUGGCUAAAUACUGACGCUGAAAAACGAAAGCGUGGGGAGCAAACAGG
RNAcentral lists this ribosomal RNA (253 nucleotides) under uncultured bacterium. RNAcentral describes it as "partial 16S ribosomal RNA". It matches the Rfam family "Bacterial small subunit ribosomal RNA", at positions 524 to 776 of the family's 1533-position model. The record is from RNAcentral.